Molecule: long non-coding RNA, 466 nt
Organism: Phyllostomus hastatus (greater spear-nosed bat)
Lineage: Eukaryota; Metazoa; Chordata; Mammalia; Chiroptera; Phyllostomidae
Exons: 2
Source: RefSeq, a predicted model, not a curated record
GGGAUGGUGUGUGCGCCAGCGGCGACAGCGGGAUGUUGCCGGCCGACUUGCAUCGGGCAGAGCGGUACUGGCGGUGCAGCUUCGGUGACAGGCCGUGCAGCGUGCUGGGCCGGAUGUGGUGCGAUGCCGACGACGCGGUCUCUAUACAGCUCUGGUCCACUUGGCUCCUCCCACCUCAGGCCCCAUCCUAGAGAUGCUACUCAAAGCAAAACCAACAUUUUUCUGGCCCCACCUGAGAGGUGCCCAAGACAUCUCUGACCCCACCCUCCAGCUACAUCCCACUUAUCAGAGCCAGGGGUUGGAGGGAGAAGUUCACUGACUCAGUUCAACCUGGGUCCUCUCACUUAAAUCCCUACUCACAAUUUGUCCAGGCCAAACCCACUGAUCAAAACAGAACACUCUCCUGGCCCCACCUACCUCUCCUAGCUUCUCCUACCUAUAAGAAAAUAAAUUAUUUCACUUUGCA